This 218-nucleotide ribosomal RNA is filed under the name uncultured bacterium. RNAcentral describes it as "partial 16S ribosomal RNA". It matches the Rfam family "Bacterial small subunit ribosomal RNA", at positions 1285 to 1500 of the family's 1533-position model. The record is from RNAcentral.
GUCCCAGUUCGGAUUGUAGUCUGCAACCCGACUACAUGAAGCCGGAAUCGCUAGUAAUCGCGGAUCAGAAUGCCGCGGUGAAUACGUUCCCGGGUCUUGUACACACCGCCCGUCACACCAUGGGAGUCGGAAAUGCCCGAAGCCGGUGACCCAACCCGAAAGGGAGGGAGCCGUCGAAGGCAGGUCGGAUGACUGGGGUGAAGUCGUAACAAGGUAUC